This 624-nucleotide ribosomal RNA is filed under the name Oxalobacteraceae bacterium So3Ps_1825. RNAcentral describes it as "bacterial SSU rRNA". It matches the Rfam family "Bacterial small subunit ribosomal RNA", at positions 396 to 1013 of the family's 1533-position model. Lineage: Bacteria; Pseudomonadati; Pseudomonadota; Betaproteobacteria; Burkholderiales; Oxalobacteraceae. The record is from RNAcentral.
GCCGCGUGAGUGAAGAAGGCCUUCGGGUUGUAAAGCUCUUUUGUCAGGGAAGAAACGGCCUGUUCUAAUACAGUGGGCUAAUGACGGUACCUGAAGAAUAAGCACCGGCUAACUACGUGCCAGCAGCCGCGGUAAUACGUAGGGUGCAAGCGUUAAUCGGAAUUACUGGGCGUAAAGCGUGCGCAGGCGGUUUUGUAAGACUGUCGUGAAAUCCCCGGGCUCAACCUGGGAAUGGCGAUGGUGACUGCAAGGCUAGAGUUUGGCAGAGGGGGGUAGAAUUCCACGUGUAGCAGUGAAAUGCGUAGAUAUGUGGAGGAACACCGAUGGCGAAGGCAGCCCCCUGGGUCAAAACUGACGCUCAUGCACGAAAGCGUGGGGAGCAAACAGGAUUAGAUACCCUGGUAGUCCACGCCCUAAACGAUGUCUACUAGUUGUCGGGUCUUAAUUGACUUGGUAACGCAGCUAACGCGUGAAGUAGACCGCCUGGGGAGUACGGUCGCAAGAUUAAAACUCAAAGGAAUUGACGGGGACCCGCACAAGCGGUGGAUGAUGUGGAUUAAUUCGAUGCAACGCGCAAAACCUUACCUACCCGUGACAUGGAAGGAAUCCCUGAGAGAUUGGGGA